Molecule: small nuclear RNA, 22 nt
Filed under: Arabidopsis thaliana (thale cress)
Lineage: Eukaryota; Viridiplantae; Streptophyta; Magnoliopsida; Brassicales; Brassicaceae
Description: snRNA_00594
Source: RNAcentral
GGAUUUGAGUUUGUGUCCGAAG